UCUCGAAGGUUCUGGAGAGGACUGCAUUUGCGAUCCUCUCUAGAACCUUCCGAGA
Molecule: microRNA precursor, 55 nt
Filed under: Glycine max (soybean)
Lineage: Eukaryota; Viridiplantae; Streptophyta; Magnoliopsida; Fabales; Fabaceae
Description: miR4386 stem-loop (gma-MIR4386)
Source: miRBase by way of RNAcentral